Molecule: long non-coding RNA, 757 nt
Filed under: Rattus norvegicus (Norway rat)
Lineage: Eukaryota; Metazoa; Chordata; Mammalia; Rodentia; Muridae
Description: long non-coding RNA NONRATT011300
Source: RNAcentral
CGUCACUUCUGGGCCCGGGGAGUUUGGGCUUGGGAUAUAAACGAGUGUUUUAUGCUGGUGGUGUCGUGUCCUCCAUCGCUGACUUCAGAGAACAUUUAAAGAGUUGAUAGAGGCUACUCCCUCUUAAGAGGGGGUCAGUGAGACUCAGGGAGCCACACAGCGUCCUCUCCAGUCCUCCUCGACACACAGCGCUCCUGCAGUAGCGUUUCAGGCGACCUUGAGCUCUGAGUGACGCCUGGCCUGUUAUGAGUUCCUGCCUGCAGUUCCAUUUGCCCAGGCAGCACCAUGGCCCAUGUCUUGAUUCCUGGGUUGUCUCGAGGCUCUGUGGGAGCCAUCUGCACUCAGGCUGCUUCGUGGGCACUGCCUACCAGCACUCUGCGUUCCCUUACCUUAGCCAGCGUAAUGAGAUCCAGAAGGAAAACUGACCACCUAGAGAGAACCGCCACUGUCCUCCGCCGGGAGUCCUUGUUUAUCCUGCUUUGGAAGCACCUUCUAGCUCGUCAGAGCAGCACUGACAUCUGAGACAGAAAGGUGGUUGAGCUCAUUGCCCCUCCCCUGCAGCCUGUCAAUCAUGCCCAGACUGUAGAAAGCUAAGCUGCCACCUGAGGGUGCCGAGGCCUGGGAAGUAGAGGAUCCUCACCUUUAUCCCAGUCAUGGCUGCAGCUAAGGUGUGUGAGAUCACUCACGAGUCUCCAUCAGUGAAGAGCCUCCGUUUGCUUGUUGCUGAUAAAGACUUUUCCUUCAAGGCUGGCCAGUG